Long non-coding RNA from Eubalaena glacialis (North Atlantic right whale), 353 nucleotides. RefSeq lists it as uncharacterized. The record is from RefSeq and is a predicted model, not a curated record. NCBI's taxonomy places the organism in Eukaryota, Metazoa, Chordata, Mammalia, Artiodactyla, Balaenidae. The transcript has 3 exons.
AUUUUUCUGCAGAUUCUAAGCACAGACCAACAGAUGUGCUUGGCAACUGAAGAGAGGGUGAGGAGUCUUGAAAAAGCUCUCAGGAGAACGGAAGACAUUUACCUUACACGUGAUGGGGAUUCUUCAGUCACGCCGAGAGCCCUGCCCAGAUUCUUUUCCAUUAUGGUUUAUCACAGGACAUUGAAUACAGUUCCCUGUGCUCUACGAUCCCUCGGUCAGGGAUGCAGGAAACAAGACCCUGUCCUCCAUCCCUGCUCUACCCCUGACGCUCCCUAAAAGGUGCAGACGUCAUUCCUACUCUCCACUCUUUAUUCGUGAUGGUACAGCCUCCCUGCAUCUCGGCACAGAGGAAC